UAUAGGAUAGCCACUAGAAAUGGUGGGUAAUACUGUAUAAUCCCUGCGGGGGAAAGAUUUAUCGCUACCAGAUGAGCCUAUGUCAGAUUAGCUAGUUGGUGGGGUAAUGGCCCACCAAGGCUGUGAUCUGUAGCUGGUCUGAGAGGAUGAUCAGCCACACUGGAACUGAGACACGGUCCAGACUCCUACGGGAGGCAGCAGUGGGGAAUAUUGGACAAUGGGCGCAAGCCUGAUCAGCUAUGCCGCGUGAGUGAGGAAGGCCUUAGGGUUGUAAAACUCUUUCAGUAGGGAAGAUAAUGACGGUACCUACAGAAGAAGUCCCGGCAAACUCCGUGCCAGCAGCCGCGGUAAUACGGAGGGGGCAAGCGUUGUUCGGAAUUAUUGGGCGUAAAGGGCAUGUAGGCGGUUUGGUAAGUUAAAGGUGAAAUACCAGGGCUUAACCCUGGGGCUGCUUUAA
Molecule: ribosomal RNA, 457 nt
Filed under: Anaplasma ovis
Lineage: Bacteria; Pseudomonadati; Pseudomonadota; Alphaproteobacteria; Rickettsiales; Anaplasmataceae
Description: bacterial SSU rRNA
Rfam family: Bacterial small subunit ribosomal RNA
Source: RNAcentral